Molecule: transfer RNA, 74 nt
Filed under: Schizocardium brasiliense
Lineage: Eukaryota; Metazoa; Hemichordata; Enteropneusta; Spengelidae
Description: tRNA-Thr
Rfam family: tRNA
About the family: Transfer RNA (tRNA) molecules are approximately 80 nucleotides in length. Their secondary structure includes four short double-helical elements and three loops (D, anti-codon, and T loops). Further hydrogen bonds mediate the characteristic L-shaped molecular structure. tRNAs have two regions of fundamental functional importance: the anti-codon, which is responsible for specific mRNA codon recognition, and the 3' end, to which the tRNAs corresponding amino acid is attached (by aminoacyl-tRNA synthetases). tRNAs cope with the degeneracy of the genetic code in two manners: having more than one tRNA (with a specific anti-codon) for a particular amino acid; and 'wobble' base-pairing, i.e. permitting non-standard base-pairing at the 3rd anti-codon position.
Source: RNAcentral
GCUCCGAAAGCUUCCUAGUAAUUAAGCCACGGUCUUGUAAAUCGUAGAGGGAGGUUAAAAUCCUCCUCAGAGCU